CAGGCCUAACACAUGCAAGUCGAGCGGAUGACAGGAGCUUGCUCCUUGAUUCAGCGGCGGACGGGUGAGUAAUACCUAGGAAUCUGCCUGGUAGUGGGGGACAACGUUUCGAAAGGAACGCUAAUACCGCAUACGUCCUACGGGAGAAAGCAGGGGACCUUCGGGCCUUGCGCUAUCAGAUGAGCCUAGGUCGGAUUAGCUAGUUGGUGGGGUAAUGGCUCACCAAGGCGACGAUCCGUAACUGGUCUGAGAGGAUGAUCAGUCACACUGGAACUGAGACACGGUCCAGACUCCUACGGGAGGCAGCAGUGGGGAAUAUUGGACAAUGGGCGAAAGCCUGAUCCAGCCAUGCCGCGUGAGUGAUGAAGGCCUUAGGGUUGUAAAGCUCUUUUAUCCGGGAAGAUAAUGACUGUACCGGAAGAAUAAGCCCCGGCUAACUUCGUGCCAGCAGCCGCGGUAAU
Molecule: ribosomal RNA, 461 nt
Filed under: uncultured bacterium
Lineage: Bacteria
Description: bacterial SSU rRNA
Rfam family: Bacterial small subunit ribosomal RNA
Source: RNAcentral